RNAcentral lists this long non-coding RNA (638 nucleotides) under Homo sapiens (human). Its description in RNAcentral is "non-protein coding lnc-C11orf24-1:1". Lineage: Eukaryota; Metazoa; Chordata; Mammalia; Primates; Hominidae. The record is from RNAcentral.
CGGAGGCGGCACCGCGCGGCGCACGGACCUGGGACGCGGAGUCCUGAAGCCGGCGGACGGUUUUCGUACGGGCGGCCGUGCGCGAGGCGAGGAGAGAACAUUGAAAGUAUUCUCUAAGCUAUUUGAAGAGAGUGACUAAAUGCACCUGGGUCAGGCUGUCUGUGGGUAUGAAGUGGUUGGGAGAAUCCAAGAACAUGGUGGUGAAUGGCAGGAGAAAUGGAGGCAAGUUGUCUAAUGACCAUCAGCAGAAUCAAUCAAAAUUACAGCACACGGGGAAGGACACCCUGAAGGCUGGCAAAAAUGCAGUCGAGAGGAGGUCGAACAGAUGUAUGUACACACUUAAACCUUCAAUGUUCUGAUUGUGAUAUGGGGUAGUAAUUCUUUCCAGUUUGUAAUGUGUAUUCUGUUUUCUUUUGUCUUAAAUAAUUUUUUGCAUUUUCAUAAUUAACAAUAUAGUCUUUUUACUCUCAAAGUUGUGUCAAUUUUUAUUCUCAUCAAACUAUAUAAAACUCAAGUUUAAUGCUUCAUAUAAUUAUUUUAAUCAUGCUUUUCUGUCUGUUACUUUAUAUUUUGUAGAAUUUACCUGAAUGGUUGAUAUGUCUUACUAAAUUUUUAAAAUUUUAAUUGAACUUCUUACA